Molecule: non-coding RNA, 361 nt
Organism: Oncorhynchus mykiss (rainbow trout)
Lineage: Eukaryota; Metazoa; Chordata; Actinopteri; Salmoniformes; Salmonidae
Source: RefSeq, a predicted model, not a curated record
CAUAGAUAAGUCAGUGUAAUGUAAUGAACUCCAGACUGAAUGUAUUGUAAUGACUCCAGACGUCCUAAAUUAACUCAUCGAAGGGGUGUCACCUAAAUAUCUAGGUGACAGAGUGUCGGAGGUGGUGAAGAAGAGAGUGGUAGAUAUGCUCUUCAGCUGGACACUCUCUUUACCCAAUGAGGCCAAGAUCAGUGAUGCUUAUCAAAUGCUGAAGAAACAAGGUAUUGUCACAGUUGACCCUGAGCUUCCUCUGGAUAAGACACUGAUGCCAUCACCCUCCUCCCGGCCCAAGAACCCUGUGUUUGAGAAUGAGGAGAAGAGCAAGCGACUGGCCGAGCUUCUGAAGAGCAAAAAGCCUGAG